AGGUUGAUUUCUAUCUCUUGAUUCUUGGAGAUCAUUCUGUUGAUCAGGUUUAUAUCCAUCUUGGUCCUGACGAAAUUAAACAGCUGGAACUUGUUUAUGAAUGUACUAAUCUUUGGAGAUAUAGCGUAACGUUCGCUGGUGACCCAAUCAAAAGCCGUUUCAAGUAUAAAUACGGGUUUAACAGAAGAGGACAUGACUUUACGAUACCGUACGUUGGCCGGAUUGGAGUGCUUAGCAAAGAUCCUUCAAAGUGUGUAGAAUCCAGUGAAAAGCAAGUAGAGUCACAAGCUCAGUUUGAUGUAUUUCAUUUUCCACAAGACAAGAGUUAUUUGUAUGACACAGUUCCCGAGGCUACAAUCUUCUACCUGAAGUGGUUGUUGCCAUUUGUUUUUCCUUCAUCUAUUUCUGAAACACUUACCCAUAUCGAACGUUUCCAGUUCAAUACGUUCAGCAGAAAACACGUGAAAGAAUGUGUCAAUUGGAUUGUGGAACGUGCUUCAGGC
Non-coding RNA from Paramuricea clavata, 503 nucleotides. The record is from the annotation of a GenBank genome assembly. Lineage: Eukaryota; Metazoa; Cnidaria; Anthozoa; Malacalcyonacea; Plexauridae.